UGCAAACCGUUGGGGUGUCCCGUCACAGGGGCUGAGAGGCGUCAGCCAACCCAUCGAACCUGAUCCGGGUCAUACCGGCGGAGGGAACGGUGCAGAUGAUCGC
Regulatory RNA element from Paracoccus sp. SM22M-07, 103 nucleotides. It matches the Rfam family "TPP riboswitch aptamer (THI element)". From Rfam's summary of the family: Vitamin B(1) in its active form thiamin pyrophosphate (TPP) is an essential coenzyme that is synthesised by coupling of pyrimidine and thiazole moieties in bacteria. The previously detected thiamin-regulatory element, thi box was extended, resulting in a new, highly conserved RNA secondary structure, the THI element, which is widely distributed in eubacteria and also occurs in some archaea. Analysis of operon structures identified a large number of new candidate thiamin-regulated genes, mostly transporters, in various prokaryotic organisms. NCBI's taxonomy places the organism in Bacteria, Pseudomonadati, Pseudomonadota, Alphaproteobacteria, Rhodobacterales, Paracoccaceae. The record is from Rfam.